UCACAAAAGACACGUGGGAAAGAUCAUCGUUCUUAUGGAACGCAAGGUCAAAGUAAACCAAAUUUAAGCAGGCAUUCAAGUGCUAGAAAAGAAAACUAUACAACAAUCGCAGAUGCCAAAUCUGAUCUUCUAUCAUACGCGGAAAAGAUUAAGAGAGAGUGGAAGGAUGCAAACGAAAGGAAUUUUUUUUCAGCUCCAGAUAUACAUCGCCUAUACGGAGAUUACACUCGUGUUAUUAACUGGCUCGAUGCAAAUAAGAAACCAUCUCUAGUUGACAUACAAACGAAAAGAAAACAGUUACAAGACACAUAUGAAGCCUGUGGAUUGGGCAAAAGCGGAUGGGCUCAAUCUGACGUUUUAUAACUCACUCUUCAUGUAUUAUAUAUUUUUCAAAUUUUCAUGUAGAGCUAUUUUUUUCUAUACAUUUUUUGUCGUCUCCAAAUUUAAGACAAAGC
Molecule: non-coding RNA, 455 nt
Organism: Styela clava
Lineage: Eukaryota; Metazoa; Chordata; Ascidiacea; Stolidobranchia; Styelidae
Source: RefSeq, a predicted model, not a curated record